AGAGUUUGAUCAUGGCUCAGAUUGAACGCUGGCGGCAGGCUUAACACAUGCAAGUCGAGCGGAGUUGUGGUGCUUGCACCAUAACUUAGCGGCGGACGGGUGAGUAAUGCUUAGGAAUCUGCCUAUUAGUGGGGGACAACAUCUCGAAAGGGAUGCUAAUACCGCAUACGCCCUACGGGGGAAAGCAGGGGAUCUUCGGACCUUGCGCUAAUAGAUGAGCCUAAGUCGGAUUAGCUAGUUGGUGGGGUAAAGGCCUACCAAGGCGACGAUCUGUAGCGGGUCUGAGAGGAUGAUCCGCCACACUGGGACUGAGACACGGCCCAGACUCCUACGGGAGGCAGCAGUGGGGAAUAUUGGACAAUGGGGGGAACCCUGAUCCAGCCAUGCCGCGUGUGUGAAGAAGGCCUUUUGGUUGUAAAGCACUUUAAGCGAGGAGGAGGCUACUCUAGUUAAUACCUAGGGACAGUGGACGUUACUCGCAGAAUAAGCACCGGCUAACUCUGUGCCAGCAGCCGCGGUAAUACAGAGGGUGCAAGCGUUAAUCGGAUUUACUGGGCGUAAAGCGUGCGUAGGUGGCCAAUUAAGUCAAAUGUGAAAUCCCCGAGCUUAACUUGGGAAUUGCAUUCGAUACUGGUUGGCUAGAGUAUGGGAGAGGAUGGUAGAAUUCCAGUGUAGCG
RNAcentral lists this ribosomal RNA (677 nucleotides) under uncultured bacterium. RNAcentral describes it as "bacterial SSU rRNA". It matches the Rfam family "Bacterial small subunit ribosomal RNA", at positions 8 to 680 of the family's 1533-position model. The record is from RNAcentral.